Molecule: small nuclear RNA, 198 nt
Organism: Scleropages formosus (Asian bonytongue)
Lineage: Eukaryota; Metazoa; Chordata; Actinopteri; Osteoglossiformes; Osteoglossidae
Gene: U2
Rfam family: U2 spliceosomal RNA
About the family: U2 is a small nuclear RNA (snRNA) component of the spliceosome (involved in pre-mRNA splicing). Complementary binding between U2 snRNA (in an area lying towards the 5' end but 3' to hairpin I) and the branchpoint sequence (BPS) of the intron results the bulging out of an unpaired adenosine, on the BPS, which initiates a nucleophilic attack at the intronic 5' splice site, thus starting the first of two transesterification reactions that mediate splicing.
Source: Ensembl
AUAUCUUUAUUUUAAUAAAGUUGAAGUUAAAAGAAAAAAUCUGUUCUUAUCAGUUCAAUACCUGAUACAUGCCCUAUCUGGGAACCAUAUAUUAAAUUGAUUUUUGGAACAGGGAGAUGGAAUAGGGGCUUGCGCCGUCCACUCCGCGCAUCGACCUGGUGUUGCAGUAUCUCCAGGAACGGAGGCGGUGGAAAAUAA